UAGACAAGAGCUUGAUAAAAGCAUUUUAUUUACACUAAAAAGUUAACAGUGAGAUUCUGUUUUGUUUAA
RNAcentral lists this transfer RNA (69 nucleotides) under Chrysomeloidea sp. 7 KM-2017. Its description in RNAcentral is "tRNA-Val". The record is from RNAcentral. Lineage: Eukaryota; Metazoa; Arthropoda; Insecta; Coleoptera.